RNAcentral lists this ribosomal RNA (121 nucleotides) under Petromyzon marinus (sea lamprey). Lineage: Eukaryota; Metazoa; Chordata; Hyperoartia; Petromyzontiformes; Petromyzontidae. The record is from RNAcentral.
CCCAAUGACCACGUCACUCAAAAUACGCCUGAUCUCAUCAGUUCUUAGAAGCUAAGCAGGAUUUGUUUGCAUGCAUAGUUCUUGGAAGGUCGACCACCGUGCAAAACAGGUGUUAUAGGAU